UGUGUAGGCGGAAGAUUAAGCGCCUUGUGAAAUCCCUCGGCUUAACCGAGGAAUUGCUUGGCGAACUGGUCUUCUUGAGGCAAGUAGGGGUGCAUGGAACUCUUGGUGGAGCGGUGGAAUGCGUAGAUAUCAAGAGGAACGCCGGUAGUGAAAACGGUGCACUGGGCUUGUCCUGACGCUGAGACACGAAAGCGUGGGUAGCGAACAGGAUUAGAUACCCUGGUAGUCC
This 229-nucleotide ribosomal RNA is filed under the name uncultured bacterium. Its description in RNAcentral is "partial 16S ribosomal RNA". It matches the Rfam family "Bacterial small subunit ribosomal RNA", at positions 568 to 796 of the family's 1533-position model. The record is from RNAcentral.